RNAcentral lists this ribosomal RNA (508 nucleotides) under uncultured bacterium. RNAcentral describes it as "partial 16S ribosomal RNA". It matches the Rfam family "Bacterial small subunit ribosomal RNA", at positions 30 to 523 of the family's 1533-position model. The record is from RNAcentral.
AUUGAACGCUGGCGGCAUGCCUUACACAUGCAAGUCGAACGGCAGCGGGGGAGAAGCUUGCUUUUCCUGCCGGCGAGUGGCGAACGGGUGAGUAAUACAUCGGAACGUGCCCUGUAGUGGGGGAUAACUAGUCGAAAGAUUAGCUAAUACCGCAUACGACCUGAGGGUGAAAGUGGGGGACCGCAAGGCCUCCUGCUAUAGGAGCGGCCGAUGUCUGAUUAGCUCGUCGGUGGGGUAAGGGCCGACCAAGGCGAUGAUCAGUAGCUGGUCUGAGAGGACGAUCAGCCACACUGGGACUGAGACACGGCCCAGACUCCUACGGGAGGCAGCAGUGGGGAAUUUUGGACAAGGGGCGAAAGCCUGAUCCAGCAAUGCCGCGUGUGUGAAGAAGGCCUUCGGGUUGUAAAGCACUUUUGUCCGGAAAGAAAUGGCUCUGGUUAAUACCUGGGGUCGAUGACGGUACCGGAAGAAUAAGGACCGGCUAACUACGUGCCAGCCGCCGCGGUAA